RNAcentral lists this long non-coding RNA (1520 nucleotides) under Macaca fascicularis (crab-eating macaque). RNAcentral's name for it is "lncRNA (ENSMFAG00000054617.1)". The record is from RNAcentral. Lineage: Eukaryota; Metazoa; Chordata; Mammalia; Primates; Cercopithecidae.
AUGAUCUAUUUCAUUAUGAACAAACUAUCAACAAAAACCAUCCUGUUCAGCCAGUUUCUCAGAGCAACUGUGGGAGUCAAAGCAGGUAAAGUGGACUUCUUAAUUUGCAAACUUUUAAGGGUUGUAUUAUUUAUUACUUGGUGUUUUUUCUCAGGGGAGGACUUAGGUAGAAAUUACCUUGAUAUAGAAUGAAAAAUGUUUGCCUGGAAAAUGUGUAGGAUGAAGAGAAUAGAAACCAGUAAUUAAAAUAUCAAUUGGUAUGUACUAUAAUAAUUUCAAUAAUGCAAGUAAGCUGUUGGUAAAUAUACUAUGAUUUUCCUUUCAGUAAUUUUACUGGAUACUAAGUAUUAACACCAGGUAACAACAUUAGGGAAGAUUACAAGUAUAGGAGCGAGGUUUUGGUGUUUUGUCCCUUCUUGUUUCUUAUUGUCUGUUAACUUACACAUGUUGUUGAGUGACUGCCCUUCAGAGAUGGGGUCCUACUAUGUUGCCCAGGCUGGUUUCGAACUCCUGGGCUCAAGUGAUCCUCCUGCCUUGGCCUCCCAAAAUGCUGGGAUUACAGGCAUGAGCCACCACACCUGGCUAUUUUAAAAUAUUUUAUUGAAAAACUCUUGGUGUUUAUUCUUUCCCUUGCAAGCAUUCUUUACUAACUCUUUUUCUGGCAUCUUCUAUAAUUCUGCUUUUAAGGUUUUUUUUCUUUAUUUUUUAUUAUUAUACUUACAUUAUAUAGGGUACAUGUGCACAAUGUGCAGGUUUGUUACAUAUGUAUCCAUGUGCCAUGUUGGUGUGCUGCACCCAUUAACUCGUCAUUUACAUUAAGUAUAUCUCCUAAUGCUAUCCCUUCCCCCUCCCCCCUUCCUCCACCCCAUGACAGGCCCCAGUGUGUGAUGUUCCCCACCCUGUGUCCAAGUGUUCUCAUUGUUCAGUAACCACCUAUGAGUGAGAAAAGGCAGUGUUUGGUUUUCUGUCCUUGUGAUAGUUUGCUCAGAAUGAUGGUUUCCAGCUUCAUCCAUGUCCCUACAAAGGACACAAACUCAUCCUUUUUUAUGGCUGCAUAGUAUUCCAUGGUUUAUAUGUGCCACAUUUUCUUAAUCCAGUCUGUCAUUGAUGGACAUUUGGGUUGGUUCCAAGUCUUUGCUAUUGUGAAUAGUGCCACAAUAAACAUACGUGUGCAUAUAUCUUUAUAGCAGCAUGAUUUAUAAUCCUUUGGGUAUAUAUCCAGUAAUGAGAUGGCUGGGUCAAAUGGUAUUUCUAGUUCUUGAUCCUUGAGGAAUUGCCACACUGUCUUCCACAAUGGUUGAACUAGUUUACAAUCCCACCAACAGUGAAAAAGUGUUCCUAUUUCUCCACAUCCUCUCCAGCACCUGUUGUUUCCUGACUUUUUAAUGAUCGCCAUUCUAACUGGUGUGAGAUGGUAUCGCAUUGUGGUUUUGAUUUGCAUUUCUCUGAUGGCCAGUGAUGAUGAGCAUUUUUUCAUGUGUCUGUUGGCUGCAUAAAUGUCUUCUUUUGAGAAUUGUCUG